UGGGGAAUUUUGGACAAUGGGCGAAAGCCUGAUCCAGCAAUGCCGCGUGUGUGAAGAAGGCCUUCGGGUUGUAAAGCACUUUUGUCCGGAAAGAAAUCCUUGGCUCUAAUACAGUCGGGGGAUGACGGUACCGGAAGAAUAAGCACCGGCUAACUACGUGCCAGCAGCCGCGGUAAUACGUAGGGUGCAAGCGUUAAUCGGAAUUACUGGGCGUAAAGCGUGCGCAGGCGGUUUGCUAAGACCGAUGUGAAAUCCCCGGGCUCAACCUGGGAACUGCAUUGGUGACUGGCAGGCUAGAGUAUGGCAGAGGGGGGUAGAAUUCCACGUGUAGCAGUGAAAUGCGUAGAGAUGUGGAGGAAUACCGAUGGCGAAGGCAGCCCCCUGGGCCAAUACUGGCGCUCAUGCACGAAAGCGUGGGGAGCAAAACAGGAUUAGAUACCCUGGUAGUCCACGCCCUAAAACGAUGUCAACUAGUUGUUGGGGAUUCAUUUCCUUAGUAACGUAGCUAACGCGUGAAGUUGACCGCCUGGGGAGUACGGUCGCAAGAUUAAAACUUAAAUGAAUUGACGGGGUCAUAGCUG
This 581-nucleotide ribosomal RNA is filed under the name uncultured bacterium. RNAcentral describes it as "partial 16S ribosomal RNA". It matches the Rfam family "Bacterial small subunit ribosomal RNA", at positions 355 to 932 of the family's 1533-position model. The record is from RNAcentral.